CAACUUUUAACAACGGAUCUCUUGGCUCUCGCAUCGAUGAAGAACGCAGCGAAAUGCGAUAAGUAAUGUGAAUUGCAGAAUUCAGUGAAUCAUCGAAUCUUUGAACGCACCUUGCGCUCUCUGGUAUUCCGGGGAGCACACCUGUUCGAGUGUCAUUGA
This 159-nucleotide ribosomal RNA is filed under the name Hydnum repandum. RNAcentral describes it as "5.8S ribosomal RNA". It matches the Rfam family "5.8S ribosomal RNA". Rfam says of the family: 5.8S ribosomal RNA (5.8S rRNA) is a component of the large subunit of the eukaryotic ribosome. It is transcribed by RNA polymerase I as part of the 45S precursor that also contains 18S and 28S rRNA. Lineage: Eukaryota; Fungi; Basidiomycota; Agaricomycetes; Cantharellales; Hydnaceae. The record is from RNAcentral.